GCCUCCUUAGCUCAGCGGUAGAGCGCGACACUAGUAAUCAUCAAUCAGAUUUGAGAUCUGUUGUGAUACAAUGUCGAGGUCAGUCGUUCGAUCCGGCUAGGAGGCA
Molecule: non-coding RNA, 106 nt
Organism: Saitozyma sp. JCM 24511
Lineage: Eukaryota; Fungi; Basidiomycota; Tremellomycetes; Tremellales; Trimorphomycetaceae
Source: the annotation of a GenBank genome assembly